UGGGGAAUAUUGCACAAUGGGCGCAAGCCUGAUGCAGCCAUGCCGCGUGUGUGAAGAAGGCCUUCGGGUUGUAAAGCACUUUCAGCGGGGAGGAAGGCGGUGAGGUUAAUAACCUCACCGAUUGACGUUACCCGCAGAAGAAGCACCGGCUAACUCCGUGCCAGCAGCCGCGGUAAUACGGAGGGUGCAAGCGUUAAUCGGAAUUACUGGGCGUAAAGCGCACGCAGGCGGUCUGUCAAGUCGGAUGUGAAAUCCCCGGGCUCAACCUGGGAACUGCAUUCGAAACUGGCAGGCUGGAGUCUUGUAGAGGGGGGUAGAAUUCCAGGUGUAGCGGUGAAAUGCGUAGAGAUCUGGAGGAAUACCGGUGGCGAAGGCGGCCCCCUGGACAAAGACGGACGCGCAGGUGCGAAAGCGUGGGGAGCAAACAGG
Molecule: ribosomal RNA, 429 nt
Filed under: Chloroflexota bacterium
Lineage: Bacteria; Bacillati; Chloroflexota
Description: Chloroflexi bacterium partial 16S ribosomal RNA
Rfam family: Bacterial small subunit ribosomal RNA
Source: RNAcentral